GAUGAACGCUAGCGGGAGGCUUAACACAUGCAAGUCGAGGGGUAACAGGUCACUUCGGUGACGCUGACGACCGGCGCACGGGUGAGUAACGCGUAUGCUAACCUACCGUUUUUACAGGGGAAUAGCCCAGAGAAAUUUGGAUUAAUACCCCAUGGUUCCAUGAAUUCGCAUGGUUUUUAUGGAUAAAGUUUCGGCGGUAAAAGAUGGGCAUGCGUGACAUUAGCUUGUUGGUAAGGUAACGGCUUACCAAGGCGACGAUGUCUAGGGGUUCUGAGAGGAUUAUCCCCCACACUGGUACUGAGACACGGACCAGACUCCUACGGGAGGCAGCAGUGAGGAAUAUUGGUCAAUGGGCGAGAGCCUGAACCAGCCAUCCCGCGUGCAGGAUGACAGCCCUAUGGGUCGUAAACUGCUUUUAUAUACCAAGAAACCCAUCUACGUGUAGAUGGCUGACGGUAGUAUAUGAAUAAGCAUCGGCUAACUCCGUG
RNAcentral lists this ribosomal RNA (488 nucleotides) under uncultured bacterium. RNAcentral's name for it is "bacterial SSU rRNA". It matches the Rfam family "Bacterial small subunit ribosomal RNA", at positions 28 to 507 of the family's 1533-position model. The record is from RNAcentral.